CCUACGGGGUGCAGCAGUGGGGAAUAUUGGGCAAUGGGCGCAAGCCUGACCCAGCAACGCCGCGUGAAGGAAGAAGGCCCUCGGGUUGUAAACUUCUUUUAUCAAGGUCGAAACAAAUGACGGUACUUGAUGAAUAAGCCACGGCUAACUACGUGCCAGCAGCCGCGGUAAUACGUAGGUGGCAAGCGUUAUCCGGAUUUAUUGGGUUUAAAGGGUGCGUAGGCGGGCUGUUAAGUCAGCGGUCAAAUGUCGGGGCUCAACCCCGGCCUGCCGUUGAAACUGGCGGCCUCGAGUGGGCGAGAAGUAUGCGGAAUGCGUGGUGUAGCGGUGAAAUGCAUAGAUAUCACGCAGAACUCCGAUUGCGAAGGCAGCAUACCGGCGCCCGACUGACGCUGAGGCACGAAAGCGUGGGUAUCGAACAGGAUUAGAUACCCCAGUAGUC
RNAcentral lists this ribosomal RNA (442 nucleotides) under uncultured bacterium. Its description in RNAcentral is "partial 16S ribosomal RNA". It matches the Rfam family "Bacterial small subunit ribosomal RNA", at positions 338 to 795 of the family's 1533-position model. The record is from RNAcentral.